AACGAACGCUGGCGGCAGGCCUAACACAUGCAAGUCGAACGCUCGUAGCAAUACGAGAGUGGCAGACGGGUGAGUAACACGUGGGAACCUUCCCUUUGGUUCGGAAUAGCUCAGGGAAACUUGAGGUAAUACCGGAUAAGCCCUUACGGGGAAAGAUUUAUCGCCAUAGGAUGGGCCCGCGUCGGAUUAGCUAGUUGGUGAGGUAACGGCUCACCAAGGCGACGAUCCGUAGCUGGUCUGAGAGGAUGAUCAGCCACACUGGGACUGAGA
This 270-nucleotide ribosomal RNA is filed under the name uncultured bacterium. Its description in RNAcentral is "partial 16S ribosomal RNA". It matches the Rfam family "Bacterial small subunit ribosomal RNA", at positions 29 to 324 of the family's 1533-position model. The record is from RNAcentral.